GUCGUUGAUAGGCCGGGUGUGUAAGCGCAGCGAUGCGUUGAGCUAACCGGUACUAAUGAACCGUGAGGCUUAACCUUACAACGCCGAAG
This 89-nucleotide ribosomal RNA is filed under the name Klebsiella pneumoniae subsp. pneumoniae. RNAcentral's name for it is "partial 23S ribosomal RNA". The stretch from base 1 to 77 matches the Rfam family "Bacterial large subunit ribosomal RNA", at positions 2849 to 2925 of the family's 2925-position model. The record is from RNAcentral. Lineage: Bacteria; Pseudomonadati; Pseudomonadota; Gammaproteobacteria; Enterobacterales; Enterobacteriaceae.